CAAAUUUUAAUAACUUCACCAAUGUGUACAUAAUCAUCAUGAGGUAUACGAUAAGUUUCCGUUUGAAAACGAUUGUAUGUUUAUGUAUACAAUUAUUUGAAUAUAAACAUUGUUUGAACCAUCAUAACAUUUAGAAACAUCGGAAACUUCCAUGUUUGAACUUUUCUGUAAAAAUAAAUUAUAUGAUCUAACAAAAUGGUUUACAUAUUUGUAACUCCUUAUAAUUUGUAAUUUCUGUUUGAAGUAUACCUCAAAUAACUAUUGUAUAUACAAACGUUAUUUUUACCGGUAGUAAAUGAUUGUCAAAAUGAUAACAGCUAUAAAUAUAUAUAGUGUAAAUAAGGAUGAAAAUGUUUUGUUUUUUUUUUCUUUUAGAAUCUAAUGUAUCAAUCUAGAAUAGACCGAAGUCCGUAAACAAUGUUCAUCUUAAAAACAACUAAAUUUUAAAAAGUGCGAAAAACCUUUCUCCAGUAUUCGGCGCGUCGAGAUGUUUUCUGUAAUUUUCAAAUUUAGGAACCAGUAGCUGAGAUCUUCAACCUUACAUCGUGCAUACAAUACAAAUGUUCCAUUUUGAAUAAUGAUAAAGCAUCAUUGAUUAAAUCCUAGUAUGGUAAAGUACAACACAAAGAAGGAACGAAAAUGGUUGUGAAGGCCCUUAAAUGUUAAAAUAAUUUGUGAUAGGACGCAUUGUGUAAGAGCUUUUAUAUGUAAAAAGUAAUUUUAAGACCGUAUCAGUUUAUUCUAUUGUAUUCUUUGCCUUGCUAAACAAACAGUUUAUACAGAUUGAGGCUAAGAGAGGGAAGAGCGAAUACCGGAACUAUAAGCCGUGAUCAUAAGCUUAUACCUAGUGCGGGUAGUACAGAUGUACCGGUUUGGAUAAUGAUUAAUGAUCAUUGAUUGGAUCUUUAUAUGAACAAGGACAUUACAAGGAAGGGAUACUCACUGUUUACUUCCUUUCUAAUUAAAAGAUAAUUCGUGUACUUUAAUCUAAAGGAAAAAAACGUGUCAGAGAUACUAGGUUUAUUUUUUAAUGUGUAACGUCUGAAAGGCGUUAUACUAUCCAGUAGCAUUCGAAUAAAAAUCAUUGGAAAAAAAGUAAAAUCACAAAAAUACUGAACUCAGAGGAAAAUCGAUUCGGAAAGUCCAUAAUCACAUGGCAAAAUCAAAUAACAAAACGCA
RNAcentral lists this long non-coding RNA (1179 nucleotides) under Mytilus galloprovincialis (Mediterranean mussel). Lineage: Eukaryota; Metazoa; Mollusca; Bivalvia; Mytilida; Mytilidae. The record is from RNAcentral.